UACGAAGGGGGCUAGCGUUGUUCGGAUUUACUGGGCGUAAAGCGCACGUAGGCGGAUCGUUAAGUCGGGGGUGAAAUCCUGGAGCUCAACUCCAGAACUGCCUUCGAUACUGGCGAUCUUGAGUCCGGAAGAGGUGAGUGGAACUCCCUAGUGUAGAGGUGGAAUUCGUAGAUAUUAGGAAGAACACCAGUGGCGAAGGCGGCUCACUGGUCCGGUA
RNAcentral lists this ribosomal RNA (217 nucleotides) under uncultured bacterium. RNAcentral's name for it is "partial 16S ribosomal RNA". It matches the Rfam family "Bacterial small subunit ribosomal RNA", at positions 524 to 739 of the family's 1533-position model. The record is from RNAcentral.